AGAGAGUGAACUUUACUUUGUUUUUAUGAACUAUGAUCCUGAAUACGAACGUCUUCGAUCCAAAAGAACAAAGAAGGGAAGCUAUGAGCUGGAUGUGUACAUAAGCAAUAAACAUGAUGAGCUGUUAGCAAAUACAUUUGAGGCAGGAAGCUAUAUAAAGAGAUUGUCUUUGGUUAUUGUUGAUGGAUUUGCUGUUGAAAUCACUCAACAUCAGGCUAAUGUGCUUAGAUCUGCAAAAGAAGUGAG
Molecule: unclassified non-coding RNA, 246 nt
Filed under: Hevea brasiliensis (rubber tree)
Lineage: Eukaryota; Viridiplantae; Streptophyta; Magnoliopsida; Malpighiales; Euphorbiaceae
Source: RNAcentral